This 5740-nucleotide long non-coding RNA is filed under the name Pan troglodytes (chimpanzee). Its description in RNAcentral is "long non-coding RNA NONPTRT014781". The record is from RNAcentral. Lineage: Eukaryota; Metazoa; Chordata; Mammalia; Primates; Hominidae.
UGAAGAGAUCGAGACCAUCCUGGCCAACGUGGUGAAACCCCAUCUCUACUAAAAAUACAAAAAAUUAGCUGGGUAUGGUAGUGGGCACCUGUAGUCCCAGCUACUCAGGAGGCUGAGGCAGGAGAAUGGGGUGAACCUGGGAGGCGGAGCUUGCAGUGAGCUGAGAUCGCACCACUGCACUCCAGCCUGGGCAACAGAGCGAGACUCCGUCUCAAAAAAAAAAAAAAAAAAAGAGGAAGCAGAGAACAAUGUUGCAAACAACUUACGCAAUUCUUCUGGCAAAUUGCUUAUUUUUAGAGUUCCUCUGGCUGGAGGGUUGCUAGGGGGUCUAGGCACAGCAGCUGGGGACGGAGGCUGGGGAACCUGUGGUCUCAGCUCUGCAGGGCACUCCAAGGACUCCCCAGGAGCACCAGCUCUGUUAGGUGGCUGGUGAUGUGGCUGGUCCCUAGAAAGGAAUACAUUUACAGUCAAUUUUCAUUCUUUACAAAGGCAAACCUUCAGGGACAGAAAGCCUUUUAGAACUAUGGGAAGAUCCCAGUGGGCUCUCUCUCCUCUGCCUCUAUUUCUUAACUGAGACAGAAGGAAGAGGGGAGCUCCAUGGAGUUGUAGUCAAUAAGCGUUUCAGCUGGCUGCCACAUGUGAGGGCCUGUGCUCUGACUCCAAAGAGGGAAGCAGGAUUUGAUUUCUGUAUUCAAGAUUUGUUUAAUUGGAAAAACAAGUCUCAUGCACAGGGCAGACAAGGUCACCAACAAAACAAAGUAGUAUGACAGGUGACACAGAUGGUUGAUGUUAUAGGCAUUCAGAUAAAAAGACAUGACUUUUAGCUCAUAAUAGGUAACAUUUAAUUAUGUAUCAAAAGGUAAAGAGGGCCAUGUAGAUUUAGAAGUAUUUGUACUGUUGACAUAUAAAUGGAAAUCUGAUUUUGAAGACCCUUUAAAGAAGUUGCUACCAUAUUAGAUAGCAUCUUUAUUAUUUUCGUUGCCAGUAUUCCCACGAGCAUUCUGCUGAGAUGAACAAUCAGAUGACCUCGUGUGAGAUUUGGAGGAGAGAAGGAAAUGGAGAGCAUGCUUCUGCCGCUUCUGUGGUUUCUGUCGUUAUGAAAUUGGAUGUGCCAUACAACAUGCUCUUCAGCUGGUCGGAAAACGAAAGUAUUUUUUCAAGGCCUGGCUGACUGUUGUGUCAUCUUCUACAUGGACUUGUGGGCCCACAGCUGAAUGGGAGGCAGAGAGAUGCAAAAAGUGAGCUGAGUGGCAGGAGGACUAAUUCCUGUCCUCUCUUUAUUGCCAUGGGAUUCGCUUUCAAUCCUCACUCUUCAGGCUUUCUCCAUAUUUACGUGCUUGUAACUCUGGCAUGACCUUUGCUCCAGUCUCUACCAGAGGGCGGCGCCUGGAUUGAAGUGGAAAAGCCCUGUUUUCCAGCCAUGACCCAGGGAGCAAGCACUGACUCCUCAGGGGAACAGGAGACCUGCCAACUAGGACCCUGGGAGCCCCCAUGCUGGCAGUGCCCUGGGUCAUCUCAGGCUCAUCAACAAAUCCUGGGGGGAGAGCGGGGUUGGAGGGCGAAGAAGCCCAGGAGAGUUCCUGGCUCAGAACCCCUCUCUGAGGCUCCCGAUACAGAGCCCAGGCCCCACACCCAGAGCCUCUGAGUAUUUUUGUUUAUUGUAUGUAAAAUACUAGUGUAUUUUUGUUUAAGUCUCACAGGUAAACAGGUUCUCUCAUACUUUGCCAAGGGAAAUGUAAUCUGUGCAAUUUGGCAAUAACUAUCAGAAUUUUAAAAGCUUAUGCCCUUUGACCUAGUAAUUUCACUUCUAAGAAUUUCCCCUGCAGAGAUAUGUAUAUCUUGUAUGAAAUGAAGAGGCUACGAAGACAGGCAACGCCGCAGUGUUUAUAAUAGCAAAGACCAGACACAGCCCACAUGUCUAAAGGUUCUGAUUUUUAAAACUGUAGUAUAUCUGUACAAUGAGCACUCCACAUCCUUUAAGAAUGAGGAAGGGCUGUGUGAACUGAAAUGGAACUAUCUCUAAGAUUUAUUAAGUUAAAAAAAUUCAAGAGUAGCACAGUGUGUAGGGUAUGCCAUCAUUUGUAUGAUAUAAGGUCGUAUAUCUGCCAUCUCAAAUGAGGAACAGUUGUUGCCUCUGGGAAGGGAAUUGGAUGGCUAGGAAUGAGGUAGGAAAGAGGUUUGCUUUUCAGAACAUUUUAUACUAUUUAAGUUUUGUAACAAGUGCAUCUAUAUUGACUUAAAAGAUAAAAAAUGAAAAGGGAAGGCUCCACUAGUGAUUCUGAUGCUCACAAAGAUUAAGAACCAAUGCGAAUGAGGAACUCAUGAGACCGCCCAGGAGACAGUGAACAUAUCUCUUCAAAUAUCAAAAACCUUUCAGCAGAGGGUGAGAACACGUGCCUGGGGUAAGCAUGGGUGGGCAUGAGCUGGGUACAGAGGUGAUUCCCAGGGACAUACAACUACCUUGCCCUCCUGGGAUCAGGUCUUCCUCCCACCUUAGCCUCCCAUAUUGUUGGGACCACAGGCAUGCACCACCACACCUGGUUAAUUUUUUUUUUUUUUUUUUUGUAGCGACACAGUCUCGCCAUGUUGCCUAGGCUGGUGUCGAACUCCUGGGCUCAAGCAACCCUUCUGCCUCGGCCUUCCAAAGUGCUGAGAUUACAGGCAUGAGCCACUGCACCCAGCCUGACAGUAGCUUUUAAUCUCUGGACUCUCAUCACUGUUUGGACUGUGAGCUGUGGUUCUAGCUCUUGGAUCUGAUGGGCAUCUUCCCUCAAAUAUGUCAGUUUCUCUCUCCAGGUCCCUUGCUUUGUCUUCCUUUUUGCCUCCUCGGGCCUGAUACCUUUCUCUGGGCUUCUCUAUUCUGCCCCGAGCUGCCUGGUUUUGCGAAUAAUGUCACAUCCAGAUGUCAGCAGCCCUGAUGUCCAUGUGACAAUGCUCCCUUGGUGUCCCAGUGACAGAUUUUCCCAUGCUUCACCCUCUCUCUUUUUUAUUUUUUUUUCUGUACACAGCUCUCAGUCAAGCCCCUUGAGCUGCCUCCAACUGUUUGCUCAUGUCUGUUCCCAGCAAAAUUUUCCUCUUUUAGCACAAUCUUCCUUAACUUACUAGUUUUUUGAAACAGAGCCUAUUAGUCUUCACAACGCUACCUUUCUGAUCUCAGAGUUCAUCAAAAAGCUUUUCCUCCCAUCAUGCCUGCCUCCCUUUCUUCAGGUCCGUUAGACUCCACCGUGGCCUGUGUGGGAAGCAAGUCUCUCCCAGGGCACACAUGAACAGACUUCAUGCCCACAUUCACAGUGAACAGUGGCUUCUGCCUUCCAGAUGGGCUUACCCUAAAUCAACACAUAUUCCUAGGAUGUGGGAACAUAUGCAAUACUUAAAUGCACAGGCUCUGGGUUCAGACUCCCUAGGGUUAAAUUCUCCCUGUGCCGGCUAGCUGCAUGAUUAGAUUUGUGAUCUUGACAAAGUUACCUAACGUCUCUGGGCCUCACUUUUCUCAUCUGCAAAAUAGGGAAAAUAGCAACACUUCUCCAUAGGGGUGUGGUGAGGAUAAAGAGUAGAUGUAAAUAAAGUGUUGAAUGUAGAGCCUGGCACAUAUCAAGCUCUUAAAAAGCAAUGGCCAUUUUGUUAUUUUUACUGCAACGACAACUGCAGUUAUUAUCUGACUUCAGAGCUCUCUUUUUAAAAACAGUAUUCCCUGGUUUUACACCCAGGUGCUAAUACUAUUCUAUGAAGCUAAUGUAUAGAGACCAUAUCUUUUUAACAAACGUGUAUAUAUGAGUCAUUUCCGGCACAUUUGAUACACAUCAUCUCGUUUGGUCCUUAAAACAAGCCUAGGCCAUAAGCAGGGUAAGUGUUACCACUUUGCUGUUCCUGUUUUACAGAGGCUUAGACACAUUGAGAAGCUUUUCCAUAGUCACUUAACAAGUGAUGGGUGAAGCCAAAUCAAGCCUUUAGAUCUCCAAGCUCUUUCCAUUAAACCAUAUAAAUCAGGGGUUGGCAAACUUUUUCUGCAAAGGGGACAGAUAGUAAAUAGUUUAAGCCUUAUGGGCCACAUGCUGUGUCUGUUUCAUAUUCUGCUCCUUUUUUAUUUUUAUUUUUUUUAAGAAAAGACACCCUUUAAACAUAUAAAAACCAUUCUGAGCAACAGGCUGGUGCUAAAAACAGGUCAUGGUAACCAUUGGCUCUAGGGUUGUAGUUUACUGUUGACAUAGAUUGUAUGCUGAUAAGCCAAAAUACAAACCUAAUGAAACUGACAUACUUAAGGAACUUUACUCUUUGUUAGCAAUCAUUGUUAAUAUUUAUUGAAUGGUUACUACGUGGGAAAUGCUGUUCCAAGUGUGAUAGAUAUAUUAACUUACUUAAUCCUCACACCCACUCUAAUUUCAUAAGUACUAUUGUCAGACUCAUUUUACAGACAGGAAAAGCAAGGCAUAGAGAAGGUAAGUAACUUUUCCAAGGUCACAUGGCUAUUAAGUAGCAGAGCUGUGAUUCAAAUAUAAGCAGUUUGGCACCAGACCCUGUGCACUUAACCGCUUGCAUCUCGGUUGGGAGCACUGACUGGUUCAGCUAUUGGGAGGGAAGAAAGGGGAUGGGGAAGCCACAUAACCCCUAGGAGAUUCUGUAAUAAAUAUGCUUCAGAGCCAUUCACCUUGAAGCUGAGGAGGCAUGGAAGCAGGCCACCUGUGUUCUGUACAGCAUCACCAGGCUGGAAAUCUGCCAUGGCUUUCCUUCACGCCAUUACAACAGAGGAUACAGAUGAGGCUGCAGAGGCAUCUUGAUUUGAGAAAAGCAUUUGACUGGAUCUCAUUAAAUUUUAAUCAUAAACUGAAUUCAAAAUAAAUUGAAAACUGGUUGACAGAGCACCAACAAAGGGUGAUGAUAAAUGGUGAUGCAUCUAGAGGGGAGCUAUCUUCCAGGGGACAACUCUAAGGCAAGGACGGAUGGGAUUUAAUGAAGGUGUUAUGUCCCCAGAAGAAGACAAAUAGCACAGCAAGGAACAGAGGAAGGACAGGAGUGAGCAGCCUGAGUAAUUAAUAAACCAUAUUAACAGCUCCUCCAUAAUCAGGCCUUGGUGAUCACAACUGCUUGGAUUUUUUCUUAAGCUUUCUUUGAGUCAGGAAUAGGUUUGAAGCAUCCUAGAGACACACAGCAUGAAUAUUUCAGGUGGACAUUAAAAAGAAAUCUAUAAAUUUACAGCUGGGAGGAUCCUGAGAUCUACUUCGGAUCAGAAACUUUCAAUUACAAGAUUCCCAAGGCCUUACUUCAUUCCCCAGAGAGUAAUCUUUUUAGUAAAUGUCCAAAAGUCAUGGAUUUAAAAAAAAAAUCUUUAAACUCAUUAAUGUCCUUUGUUUCCUGCCCAAAUGCAUGCAAACUUUCAUAACACUGGUUUGCUGAGUGGAAGGUUGGUUUUGAGUGAACUGUUUGGCUCAGAUUCAAACUCCAAUGAACAAAUACUUCCAAGUUUACUUGCUGAAUUUCCCAUACAGAGAAGUUCUUCCACUGGGCUUGCCAGAGGAUUUGAAACAGUGGUGAGCCCUGGAAGGAAGGGAAUAUUUACUGGCCCUUGGACAUAAACCCAGCACAGUAAGACUCACAUCAGGCUGAAGGCAGUGCAGUAUGAACCGACCUGAUUUGAGGAAGUUUGCUCCGGGACUCCUCUGAGCUACUAAAUGAGGAGGAGAAGGACUAAUGGGAACACACUGACUCCAUCACAUUAGAAGUUAUAAUAAACAUUUAGAGAACA